This 119-nucleotide ribosomal RNA is filed under the name Gossypium raimondii (Peruvian cotton). The record is from RNAcentral. Lineage: Eukaryota; Viridiplantae; Streptophyta; Magnoliopsida; Malvales; Malvaceae.
GGGUACGAUCAUACCAGCACUAAUGCACCGGAUCCCAUCAGAACUCCCCAGUCAAGCGUGCUUGGGUGAGAGUAGUACUAGGAUGGGUGACCUCCUGGGAAGUCCUCGUGUUGCACCCC